GAUGAACGCUGGCGGCGUGCCUAAUACAUGCAAGUCGAGCGAACGGACGAGAAGCUUGCUUCUCUGAUGUUAGCGGCGGACGGGUGAGUAACACGUGGAUAACCUACCUAUAAGACUGGGAUAACUUCGGGAAACCGGAGCUAAUACCGGAUAAUAUUUUGAACCGCAUGGUUCAAAAGUGAAAGACGGUCUUGCUGUCACUUAUAGAUGGAUCCGCGCUGCAUUAGCUAGUUGGUAAGGUAACGGCUUACCAAGGCAACGAUGCAUAGCCGACCUGAGAGGGUGAUAGGCCACACUGGAACUGAGACACGGUCCAGCCUCCUACGGGAGGCAGCAGUAGGGAAUCUUCCGCAAUGGGCGAAAGCCUGACGGAGCAACGCCGCGUGAGUGAUGAAGGUCUUCGGAUCGUAAAACUCUGUUAUUAGGGAAGAACAUAUGUGUAAGUAACUGUGCACAUCUUGACGGUACCUAAUCAGAAAGCCACGGCUAACUACGUG
Molecule: ribosomal RNA, 497 nt
Filed under: uncultured bacterium
Lineage: Bacteria
Description: partial 16S ribosomal RNA
Rfam family: Bacterial small subunit ribosomal RNA
Source: RNAcentral